AAGUCGUAACAAGGUUUCCGUAGGUGAACCUGCGGAAGGAUCAUUAACAAAUCGUUUGUAUGGCUUCGGCUGUACAUAUUCACCCCAAGCCUGCUAGUCAGGCUUAGGUUAGGCCGGUGUUAUACACUGGCCACAUAGACGCUUGUAUUGUUUGACAGAGUAUAGUUGCAUCAAAAAAUGACAACUUUUAACAAUGGAUCUCUUGGCUCUU
Molecule: unclassified non-coding RNA, 211 nt
Filed under: fungal sp.
Lineage: Eukaryota; Fungi
Also listed under: 1 other name
Description: partial internal transcribed spacer region
Rfam family: Eukaryotic small subunit ribosomal RNA (bases 1-46)
Source: RNAcentral